UUAAUCAAAUGCAUUCCAAUUUAAUCACUUCGUAAAUUCAAUUCAAUUCGAUCCAAAUCUUGGUUCAAGUUCAAAUCUCAUAAUUUACAUCCUUGUUCCAAAACCAUGUCAAACUCAAAUUCAAAUUCAAAUUCAAGUUAUUUAAUUUGAAUUAUCAUAAAUCCAGUUUCAAAUAAUACAUUUAUUUGAAUUUGUCAUUCAAGUUUCCUCUCCUACAGUUAUUUUCCUCUCCAGAUCUUUCUUCCCAACAACUCACUGCCAUGUGGACCCCACCAUGUCAGUCUGUCCUUUUCCUCCCACAGAUCUUUCCCUUCCACCUCCUGCUCUCUCUCAGCUCACCCGCCGCAUCGGUCCACAACGGCGGCACCCGUUCACAGAGCCAGGUGACCAGGUCCUGACCACCUCCGUACUUGAGCCGGCCCAAGUCUCGAGCUGCUAAUCGCCUCACCUCGCUAUGAAUCCGAAACAAAGCUAUCUUCUCUUCUUCUCUCCCCACUGCAAACCGAGCUCACCACUGAGCAAGCACGCCAUCGAGCAGAGAAGAAAAGCCCGACGCCGUCAGGCGGCCCACAGGGGCUCUGCCGCACCGUCCCACGCCGCCACCACCCUCCUUCGCUGGCACUGAGUCCCCGCCGUGGUCAUGCUCCCUCGCCAAGCCGUUGUAUCACCGCUGCCAUACGUCAUCUCGGUUUUGAGUCAAGAAUCUAAGCAAGGACGCGAGAAAGGAACAGAAGGCGAUGCCUGAUGAUGAAGAACCUGGGAGACUCGAAUGAUAGGACCAAUCGAGAAUUGACCUUCGACUAGGGAAGCCCUAACUCCCUUAUCAUGCUGAUCUCAUGUUUGUAAUAUAAUAAAAUGACAAACUAAAAUUCGGUAGUUAUACGUGUAUGCUAUAUAUAAUAGUUUCUCAAUAAAUGCUUGUAUUAGUUAUAACCCAUUUACUGAGCAUACUAUAAUUAGUACUCGUAAUAUUUAAAUAGUAA
Molecule: long non-coding RNA, 983 nt
Organism: Phragmites australis (common reed)
Lineage: Eukaryota; Viridiplantae; Streptophyta; Magnoliopsida; Poales; Poaceae
Exons: 2
Source: RefSeq, a predicted model, not a curated record